UGAGGAAUCUUGCACAAUGGGCGAAAGCCUGAUGCAGCGACGCCGCGUGCGGGAAGAAGGCCUUCGGGUUGUAAACCGCUUUUCUGGGGGACGAGCAAGGACGGUACCUCAGGAAUAAGUCCCGGCUAACUACGUGCCAGCAGCCGCGGUAAUACGUAGGGGGCAAGCGUUAUCCGGAAUCACUGGGCGUAAAGGGCGUCUAGGCGGCAAGGCAAGUCUCGCGUAAAAGCUCCCGGCUCAACUGGGAGAG
Molecule: ribosomal RNA, 250 nt
Filed under: uncultured bacterium
Lineage: Bacteria
Description: partial 16S ribosomal RNA
Rfam family: Bacterial small subunit ribosomal RNA
Source: RNAcentral